CAGCAGCCGCGGUAAAACAGAGGGUGCAAGCGUUAAUCGGAAUUACUGGGCGUAAAGCGCGCGUAGGUGGUUCGCCAAGUUGGAUGUGAAAUCCCCGGGCUCAACCUGGGCACUGCAUCCAAAACUGGCGAGCUAGAGUAUGGUAGAGGGUGGUGGAAUUUCCUGUGUAGCGGUGAAAUGCGUAGAUAUAGGAAGGAACAUCAGUGGCGAAGGCGACCACCUGGACUGAUACUGACACUGAGGUGCGAAAGCGUGGGGAGCAAACAGGAUUAGAUACCCCGGUAGUCCCUGUCUCUUAUAC
Molecule: ribosomal RNA, 301 nt
Filed under: uncultured bacterium
Lineage: Bacteria
Description: partial 16S ribosomal RNA
Rfam family: Bacterial small subunit ribosomal RNA
Source: RNAcentral